ACUCUAUCCUGAUGGGACCCUAAACCCACAGGUGUUCUUUGGACCUGAGCUGCUUGGCAGCAGAAGGGGAUGAGCAGGGAACAAAGUAGCCCAAAUGCAAGAUGCUCAGAUGUAUGCAGAGAAUGCAACAUGACAAACUGCUAGGUUUGGUUAAAUUGGGACUGUUAAUUAUAGCAGUUUAAAUUGGGUUCUGACUCAGAUUUUGAAUUUGUAGUGGCAAGAUGACAGCCUGGAGAAGGUGGUUGUAAAUGGCUGACUCAGAGGAUGAUGAUCAGCACGACAGAGCCUCCUGCCUGUGCUAGUACUAUGUGUUUAUAGGAGAGAUGUUAUAAGGUGACAGACUCCAGUUCAGCUCCACCCCGUGAUCUGUUCACCAGGCAUUAUGGAGACUGGAAAGACCAAGAGAGCAAAUGGAGGAAGGAGCAUAUUAAUUGGGACGUAGAUACAAGAACUUGCCCAUAAUCAGUUCAAUAAUUCCACUUCAAAACAAGCCAUUCUGCUGCCACAUAUAAUCCUGACAACUCAUUAUCCACCAGCCCAGUUUUACCUUCAGUUGUAUUACUGCAAUGGGAAGGGAAGGAAAGGAGCACAGCAAUGCAGCAGGGAUGGCCACUCUUCCUGACUCCCCAAAUACCACUCUUUUCUGAGACAGCAGCCCCAGUGAUGACCAACGUGGUGGCUCUUGCAUCAGCUCCUCAAAGUGACAAAUGUCUCUGACUCAGUGUUUGUGCCAGGCCAUACAGCACCACCUGGCUCAGCCUUUCAGGUACUGUCACAGCACAGUAUGACCAAUGGAAACAAUGGAAAGAGACUCUGAUUUUUUUGGACACUCAGUGGAGCAGUCAGGGGACUAUCCUCUGAGGAGACUGAUGGAUUGUACGUUGGGAUAGAAGAUGAAACCAGGAGAAAAACAUUCAGUGCUCAGGAGAAGAGGAAAAUUAUGAGGAAAACAAGCCCCUCAUUGACUCAGUAUGAAGAAAAGGAGACUUGGCACAUGGUGGCAAAAACUCUGUACCUCAUGCAGAGGGAGUGACACAAGCUGUGAGGUAGGUAAGACAGGUGCAGAGCAGCUGAAGCACUGUGGAGUUCACAAAAUUCAGUCUCACUCCCAGCUCAAUGACACCAAGUGAUCAAACUGGUACAGGAUUCUCCUAUUCCUCACCUGCAUGUUCAACUCCUGACCGUGAUUGCCACAAAAUAUUACUGAUCUCAAGCACUGAUUUAGGAGCACCUCAAAUACCUGGAUGUUUCUAACAAAAGCAAACAAUUUUGAGCUGUGCUUCUUUCUCUUACCAAAAAUUAAACUUGUGCUGGGAUCCAGUGCUCCCAGAUUUGCCCCUGAAAAACAAGUGCCAGUUCUAUCCUAGUUUUCCUGGAUAUCUUCUUUUGCUACCAGGCAGAAAUGGAUACUUCCAUAGGCCAGUCCAUCCCACACAUCUUCCAUACCUUCUACAGAAAUGUAAAGUGUGGGUGUUACUCCAUGCUUGAUCAGGAUUUUGUUCACUGCACAGUUAGCUCCGAAACUGCAUAGCAAAAUUCUUUUCUGUCUUGGCUGUUCCUUUGAAAAAGAUUAGAUGCCUGGCUGCUUUCAAAUUCAUUUAAAAAUCUAGAAUGCAGCCAGAUAGCACAACAGUCAAUCAUGACUGUUUUUAUCAGGACCUCAUCUGUUUCAGGAUGUCAAUGGAAGUUCUGCUUAACCAGCCAGAGUAGAAGUUGCCCUAAGCAUUCCCUCCUCCCUCUGGCUAUUAUGUUGCUUUGCCAGCAGUUCCUGUAUGUCUUCUAUAGUUUUAGGAACACCUUUUGCUGGAGGUUAGAAAAGUGAAAGCAAAAACUGGAAAGUUAAAUUCAAUAAUAAGCUAAUAAGGAUAAAUAGGCAAUAGUGUAGAAAGACCAUUUGUCUGAACACAAAGCUCUGGAUAUAUAUGGCCAUGUUAGAAAAGGCAACAGUCAAAACAAUAUCAUAAGGACUUCUGUAAAGCUAAGGGGUCAAAGUGGAGAGCCAAGAUGAUAUUUUUCUACCUGCAAUUUUUAAGCAUUUCUAAUGACACAGGACUUUCAAAGGAGAUGGGGAAAAAUGUAUCUUUCAAGUUUGCCUGUUUGGCAGACAGUAAUUCAGCUGAGCUAAGCAAAAUGAAGCUGACAAAUGCCACUAUCCUUGGUGAUAAGGGUUUUUCUCCUUUAUUUUUAGUGAAUACAAGAAGGACCCAAAAUUUUUCCUACAGAAGACCAUAUCUGGAGAUUUGCCAGAAAACUCAGGGUCACUGCCUUGUUUAAGAUGGAGUAAAAUAGAGCUACCUAAAUUUUUAAUGAGAAAGUAAGACCUGAACAGAGCACAGCUCCAAUGUGCCACGCUAAGCUGCUGCCAAGGCUGGCCAUCUUGAGGAGCUGCAGCCAUGGGUUAAACCUCUGUGACCCUUCAGGGCUCAGUGGUACACUCACAGCAGACCAUGAAACAUCAACCUUGGCUGAUGAUUCUUUGAAAAAUCAGAUGUUUUCACUCAAAAAGUUGUUCUUUAAGGUGAAACCCAAGUCUGCAAAAUUAUUUUUCUCUUCAUAUCUUUUAAUAGAGAUGAGGAACAUUUUUUUUUUUCCUACUCAAAUGAACAGCCAUAAUUCUAAAUUCCCUGCAGCAUUUUAGGUAAAUUUCCAUUCCUUCCUUUUCAUGGAAUAUAUACUCCUGGAAGGACCAAGUGGAGAUAAGCUAAAUAAGUACAAUGAAUAAUUUUAUGAAGACGAAGGUGAUUAAAAAACAAGUCCCAAAUUUUUGUGAGCCUCAGACUAAUUUCCACCUCAUUGAUGCUGAUGUAGCACAUUGCAAUUCUGAGAUGGCCUCUCAUGUCUCCCUGAUGUUAUUGAUUGGAGAA
Molecule: non-coding RNA, 2864 nt
Organism: Zonotrichia albicollis (white-throated sparrow)
Lineage: Eukaryota; Metazoa; Chordata; Aves; Passeriformes; Passerellidae
Source: RefSeq, a predicted model, not a curated record